CUGGAGCGGCAACUACUGAAAUUGAGUUAGCUAAGAGAGUAAAGGAAUUCUCUUUUACAGAAACAUGAUUGGAUCAGUAUGCUAUAGCAAAAUUUGCCGAAAGCUUUGAGAUGGUGCCUAAAACGCUAGCUGAAAAUGCUGGGCUUAAUGCAAUGGAGAUCAUAUCUUCUCUAUAUGCUGAACAUGCAUCAGGAAAUACCAAAGUUGGCCUCGACUUGGAGGAAGGCCGUUGCAAAGAUGUGUCAACUCUUAAUAUUUGGGACCUCCACAUAACUAAGUAAGCUGCUCUUUGUCUUGUAACAGUUCAUGCUUUUAUGUGAAAGUUCUCAAUACAUUGAAUGUUGUUACAGCUGUGAUGUUUGAUGCAAUUUUGGUUCUGAAUUUUCAUUAAUUUUGGAUCUAGAAUUUGUUUGUAGAGGAAGCUUUUAUUAGUAAUCCCAUUUUUGGUGGUUUUGAUAGCCAAUUAGUUCCUGUUGCGUACAUUAAUGGUUCAUCUUAUUGGUAUCCUUUCUGUUGAUUUUCUGUAUCAAAGUGUGACUAACUGGCAUGGGUGUUUUGAGGAUUGUGGUGCAUUUUGAAGUCCAUUGGCCGGCUAAUAGGGCUAGGAGGUUAUGCAUAUA
Molecule: non-coding RNA, 620 nt
Organism: Prunus avium (sweet cherry)
Lineage: Eukaryota; Viridiplantae; Streptophyta; Magnoliopsida; Rosales; Rosaceae
Source: RefSeq, a predicted model, not a curated record